Molecule: ribosomal RNA, 352 nt
Filed under: uncultured bacterium
Lineage: Bacteria
Description: bacterial SSU rRNA
Rfam family: Bacterial small subunit ribosomal RNA
Source: RNAcentral
AGAGUUUGAUCAUGGCUCAGGAUGAACGCUAGCUACAGGCUUAACACAUGCAAGUCGAGGGGAAACGACAUCGAAAGCUUGCUUUUGAUGGGCGUCGACCGGCGCACGGGUGAGUAACGCGUAUCCAACCUGCCCACCACUUGGGGAUAACCUUGCGAAAGUAAGACUAAUACCCAAUGACGUCUCUAGAAGACAUCUGAAAGAGAUUAAAGAUUUAUCGGUGAUGGAUGGGGAUGCGUCUGAUUAGCUUGUGGCGGGGUAACGCCACCAAGGCGACGAUCAGUAGGGGUUCUGGAGAGGAAGGUCCCCCANACUUGGAACUGAGACACGGUCCAAACUCCUACGGGAGGCA